GGCACCCAUGAAUUAUAUCCAUACCUUCAUUUUCUUCAGGUACCACUGGAAGGUGAUUACAAAAAGUUCGUGAAGGAACAACUCAAGUACCAUGACACCGAGGACCCGUGGAUUAACACUCUGCUGCGCACAUGUAUGCUGAAGCGUGGUCAUGAAGAAACAUUGUUUGGUGUUCCAAUUCUCAAACUUCCGGAUGUAAUGGGUAGAGACAUUGUGAUCAGUUUCAGUGCGACAGAAAGGGAGCUCUACCAGAAGGUUAUUGCGAUGUACUUGGAACAACAUCACGGUGAUCUUUCCUCUUAUUGAUUGUCAACAAAAUGAUAAGUACUUAUAAAAAGCAGUGUUUUCGAAUUCCCCCGGAAAACUCAAAAAGG
This 374-nucleotide small RNA is filed under the name Histoplasma capsulatum var. duboisii H88. RNAcentral describes it as "Histoplasma capsulatum H88 hypothetical RNA". Lineage: Eukaryota; Fungi; Ascomycota; Eurotiomycetes; Onygenales; Ajellomycetaceae. The record is from RNAcentral.